ACGAACGCUGGCGGCGUGCUUAACACAUGCAAGUCGAGCGGAAAGGCCACUUCGGUGGUACUCGAGCGGCGAACGGGUGAGUAACACGUGAGUAAUCUGCCCUUCACUUGGGGAUAACCUCCGGAAACGGUGGCUAAUACCCGAUACGACCAUUCCUCGCAUGAGGUGGUGGUGGAAAGUUUUUCGGUGGGGGAUGUGCUCGCGGCCUAUCAGCUUGUUGGUGGGGUAAUGGCCUACCAAGGCUUCGACGGGUAGCCGGCCUGAGAGGGUGACCGGCCACACUGGGACUGAGACACGGCCCAGACUCCUACGGGAGGCAGCAGUGGGGAAUAUUGGACAAUGGGCGGAAGCCUGAUCCAGCAACGCCGCGUGAGGGAUGACGGCCUUCGGGUUGUAAACCUCUUUCAGUACCGACGAAGCGAAAGUGACGGUAGGUACAGAAGAAGCACCGGCCAACUACGU
RNAcentral lists this ribosomal RNA (462 nucleotides) under uncultured bacterium. RNAcentral describes it as "bacterial SSU rRNA". It matches the Rfam family "Bacterial small subunit ribosomal RNA", at positions 29 to 506 of the family's 1533-position model. The record is from RNAcentral.